AAAACACAACUAUGACUGACUGAGCGUACCACAAUUAAACAGACUCUUGGAAACAUCGCUUAGGUACACUGGCAAUAGGAGCCACCUAACAGGAUUCAGUACGAGAUGUCAAAAUAAAAGAAAUACAAGAUUAGAAACAUCACUCAGAAGGGUGCAGACUACUGGUGCCUACAAUUCCAAUUUGCUGGGUGGAAACAAUGAUAAGAGUUAACUGAUUCAUAAUUGGGUCAUACUGAAAUUACACAUUAAGUUAUGAGUUGUUAUUGGACAUAAUUUUACUACAGGAACUGAGUUGGGAGGAACAAACAUGGAAACUCUGAUACAGCACUUGUCUUAAAAGUCUUAAAAUCAUGCAAUUGUAGUUGUUUUGCUUGUCGGGGGUACAACAAGGCAUUAGUGACACAUUACCGGUAUUUCAUAGUGACACUUUAUUUGUCCAAAUUAAAUCAAAUACACUAGUGACGUAAUCGUACAUCUGUGACGCAAAUCGACGACAUUGUCGUAAUUCUCCCUCGUCUGAGGAGGCGCUGCUCACGUGCGAUUCACUUUGUAAAGGGAACUCCGAGGCAGACUAAGUAAAAAGACUGUAAACUACAACACAAGUACUUUCAGGGUUCUUCAACUGGCAUUAAAGAGGAACUACGAACGUGCAAUGUAAAAUGGUCCCUUCCUUUUCCCGGCGUAGAUUGCCUUCCACCGACCUUCCCUCUUAUAGACACAGCUUUGAGGAGACGAGAGGGGGCAGGCCAACCAGGCACCAGCCCGGCGCUUCCGGGCUUCGAACGCCAAACCGCAGCUCUCAGAGACAAAAGGUAGGGAUGGGGGAUGGUCCUCUUGAAAUGUGAAACAACAACAAAAAUCUUUUGUACACUAAAACUGAACAAAAGAACUAUUAUUAAAGUCAUGCAUUUGCUACCAGCUGAGUGGCACAUCUCGCGCACACACACAAAAAAAAAACAAAACAAUGGAAGACAAAGCAACAAAAAUAUAUUUUCCCAACCCAUUACAUAUUACAUAACCUUUGAAAUCUUAAUUACAACUAUAAUUAAUCAUUCAUGAGCUUGCUAUCACCUGCAGGUGAGCGUCUUCUCAUAAAGUGCUGUGAAGAAGCUCAAUGUGUGUCCUCACUGGUUCAAAAAUAAAAAAUAAACUCAUUGCACUAGCCAAAAGCAUCCAGGUCUUAUGUCUUAGCUCUUUCAUUAUUUUUUUUGUAAAAAGGUGAUGAGAAAUAUGGAAAUAUGCUGAUGUAAAAGCUUCCUGUCAUGUAUUGCUGUCCCCUUACCGUAAGUGGCCG
Long non-coding RNA from Hippocampus comes (tiger tail seahorse), 1294 nucleotides. RefSeq lists it as uncharacterized. The transcript has 3 exons. NCBI's taxonomy places the organism in Eukaryota, Metazoa, Chordata, Actinopteri, Syngnathiformes, Syngnathidae. The record is from RefSeq and is a predicted model, not a curated record.